This 460-nucleotide ribosomal RNA is filed under the name uncultured bacterium. Its description in RNAcentral is "partial 16S ribosomal RNA". It matches the Rfam family "Bacterial small subunit ribosomal RNA", at positions 338 to 795 of the family's 1533-position model. The record is from RNAcentral.
CCUACGGGUGGCAGCAGUGAGGAAUAUUGGUCAAUGGACGAGAGUCUGAACCAGCCAAGUAGCGUGAAGGAUGACUGCCCUAUGGGUUGUAAACUUCUUUUAUAUGGGAAUAAAAUGUUCCACGUGUGGGAUUUUGUAUGUACCAUAUGAAUAAGGAUCGGCUAACUCCGUGCCAGCAGCCGCGGUAAUACGGAGGAUCCGAGCGUUAUCCGGAUUUAUUGGGUUUAAAGGGAGCGUAGGUGGAUGGUUAAGUCAGUUGUGAAAGUUUGCGGCUCAACCGUAAAAUUGCAGUUGAAACUGGCAGUCUUGAGUACAGUAGAGGUGGGCGGAAUUCGUGGUGUAGCGGUGAAAUGCUUAGAUAUCACGAAGAACUCCGAUUGCGAAGGCAGUUCACUGGACUGCAACCGAUACUGAGGCUCGAAAGUGUGGGUAUCAAACAGGAUUAGAUACCCCUGUAGUC